GGGAUAUGAAGAAAAAU
This 17-nucleotide microRNA is filed under the name Homo sapiens (human). Its description in RNAcentral is "hsa-miR-3201". Lineage: Eukaryota; Metazoa; Chordata; Mammalia; Primates; Hominidae. The record is from miRBase by way of RNAcentral.